GACGAACGUUGGCGGUGCGCUUUAUACAUGCAAGUCGCACGCGAAAGGCCCCUUCGGGGGCCGAGUAAAGUGGCGAACGGGUGCGUAACACGUGAGCAACCUGCCCGGAAGUGGGGAAUAACUCCGAGAAAUCGGGGCUAAUACCGCAUGUCGCCUAGGCUCCGCAUGAAGCCAUGGUGAAAGUCGGCCUCUGCUUGCAAGCUGGCGCUUCUGGAUGGGCUCGCGGCCUAUAGCUUGUUGGUGGGGUGAUGGCCUACCAAGGCGACGACGGGUAGCCGGCCUGAGAGGGCGACCGGCCACACUGGGACUGAGACACGGCCCAGACUCCUACGGGAGGCAGCAGUGGGGAAUCUUGCGCAAUGGGCGAAAGCCUGACGCAGCGACGCCGCGUGAGGGAU
RNAcentral lists this ribosomal RNA (398 nucleotides) under uncultured bacterium. Its description in RNAcentral is "bacterial SSU rRNA". It matches the Rfam family "Bacterial small subunit ribosomal RNA", at positions 28 to 409 of the family's 1533-position model. The record is from RNAcentral.